GGUUUCAUUUAAAUACCGCCUUGAACGGGCCGAUCCUGUCUGACCUCGGAAGCUAAGCAGGGUCGGGCCUGAUUAAUACUUGGAUGGGAGACCACCUAAGAAGACCGGGUGAUGUAGGCU
Molecule: ribosomal RNA, 120 nt
Organism: Pteropus vampyrus (large flying fox)
Lineage: Eukaryota; Metazoa; Chordata; Mammalia; Chiroptera; Pteropodidae
Source: Ensembl